AGGGUCCCAAGAAUGAUAUUUCCCGUUUCCAAUUCCCAUUACAGCUAUAAUCCCCAAUUUCCUGAGAGAGAAAAAUACCAUUCGUAAGUUUAAGUGAACUUUAUGUUCCUUCCCUAGUUCAAUUGAACCCAAAACUUGCAUACCUUUGUUUUCACUGGUACAAAAAGUUGAGUAAGGCGAACUAAAAUAAAGAUGUCCACAGACUAUAUAAAGAAGAAGAAAAUGGAGGAAGAAGCUUCACCGAUUUUAUUGUGUUACAAGAACAAAGUGGAGGAAAGAAUCGGGAUUACUUUCACAUUCUUCAAUAUUUUUUGUUACUGGAAGGAGAGAUAGGGCUAAGCCUUUACCAUUCAAGGGUGAGUCUAGUGGUACUUGGGGCUUUUCUGGAGCUAAUGAUGAUAACCCAAUAAUCAGUGCUGAAUUUAUUGCACCUUGUUACUGUUUGAAUAAGUAAGCCUACUGAUAUAUCUCUAGGUUUUUUGUAUUAUUUAUCUAUAGUCUUUGAAUGUCGUCUGAGAUAAUU
Beta vulgaris subsp. vulgaris (sugar beet) is the source of this 523-nucleotide long non-coding RNA. RefSeq lists it as uncharacterized. The transcript has 2 exons. The record is from RefSeq and is a predicted model, not a curated record. NCBI's taxonomy places the organism in Eukaryota, Viridiplantae, Streptophyta, Magnoliopsida, Caryophyllales, Amaranthaceae.